UUCUUGUUGCUUUUCAGAGUUAAUAUCUAAAGAGGUUGGGGGGCGUUGAUGCUGCAGAUCUUGUCAAGAAAUCAAUGGCUCUACACUUUCUUCAACUCAUUUGACACAACAACAACCAAACUGGAUGAAUACAUUUCUAAAUAUUUGAAGUAUGCACCAGAGAGGAUGGGACGUGGAGGCCGAAAGAAAUAUGGAAGAUUCCCUGCUCAGUGUUGCCCAUUUUGGCGUUUCCAACAUAAAACUGUUUGAAUGUUGCAGCUCAUAAUAAAUUUGGGUUUUGCACUACAUACCAUCCUUUAUUAACUGUUUAAAUCUGAUUUGUUGAACCCAAUUAUACAUUUAUCGUUAUGAUUUUCCAGAUCUGUAUAUAAAUAAUUUUGGUACUUCAGUUUUAAAUACUUCAAAAGAUUUUUUUAUUAAGUGCUUUAAAAGAUAAGGGCUUCAAAGCCUAGAUUUCUUCAACUGCUAAAAGCAGAGGCAGAAAUGGUUAAGAUUUCCCUUCGAGGUUCAAUGUUGCCAAAUGUUUGGGCCAUUUUUUAUUAUUAUCAUCUAAGAUAAUAAAUCAGUUUAUAACAUCAUGAAA
Long non-coding RNA from Girardinichthys multiradiatus, 583 nucleotides. RefSeq lists it as uncharacterized. The transcript has 2 exons. The record is from RefSeq and is a predicted model, not a curated record. NCBI's taxonomy places the organism in Eukaryota, Metazoa, Chordata, Actinopteri, Cyprinodontiformes, Goodeidae.